RNAcentral lists this unclassified non-coding RNA (286 nucleotides) under Hevea brasiliensis (rubber tree). The record is from RNAcentral. Lineage: Eukaryota; Viridiplantae; Streptophyta; Magnoliopsida; Malpighiales; Euphorbiaceae.
GGAAGCUCGUCAUUUUGUAUAAAAUUAGGUUAAUGUUGUUCUCUUCAGCUAUACAACAACACAUAAUGUACUACAUUACAGUAAUUUUGGUGAAGAGAUUCCAAAUAAUCCCAACUAUACAAAGCUGCAAAAAUUGUCCCUACUAUUUAAUCUUGAAAAGGGGCACAUUCCACUCACGAAAAUUUGAAAAUGGAGUUCCCUUUCCAAGGUACACGUCUUAUAGUCCAUGACACUGCAAGCGUAUGAGGUGUAACAUUUGAAAUGUUGGAGCUAUAACAUCUCUUUA